UCUGGUGGCCGCCUGCAUGGGCACCUACCGCCGCGCAGCCAGGGCGCUCCUGGCGCGAGCCCGCACCCUGCACCUGCAGGCUGGGAACCUGCUGAGCUGGGGCCGUCUGCAGAGGAAGUGUCUUUCCACGCACAGCGAGGAGGUGAGGGCCGGCCAGCAGCGUCCGCGCAAAUCCAGGUUCUGGGGCAGGCGGCCGGCCAGGGCAGGUGAGGGAGAGCACGCCUGGGCGCCGCUGGGGACUGCGGCCAGGGUCAGUGCAACCUCUUGUCCGGACCUGCCGCCUGGGGCCGAGCGUCCUAAAAACUCAGCAGGUGCAGCUGCACACCCAGUGCCGCCUCUGCCACUGUUCGAGGUGGAUAGCAGAACUCUGAGACGCGCUGGCAGGGGAAUCGGGGAGCGCCAGUAAGUGGCUGGGUGCCUCUAUCAAUCUCUUGCUCUCUUCCCCACCCUUUCCUUUCGAAAGGAAUAUUCGAAAGAUUAACUUUUGGUAAAUGAAAUAAUAUUCACAAUACGCUUAACUUUGUGUCAAUGUUGGUAUUAAUCUAUUGCUGUGAAGCAAAUGACGAAACAACUCAAAUUUGGUUUGGGCGUAGACACGAAUUUUUUUCUUACUGGAAGUUAAUCUGCCUCAUUUUAUUUUCCCGAAGGCUGAUCACUAGUUAGUUGGAGGUGGCAGAUGUUAAUCUAGAAGUAUGCACUUGUUACUCCUUUGUUGCUGACUCUUUCUGAGCCAGUGAGUAGUCAUCUAUUGACUGCACAAGUAAUUUGUGGCACGGAAUAAUUUUAGUACUUGAAAAAAAUUCCCAGUGACUAUGUGCGUUUAUGAUGUGUUGGUUAAAUGUAAAAGUAAUAGAACAAAAACUUCAGGAGCCAUGCGACUUUGGGAAAGAAGCUUUGAAGUUGGAUGCUACCUUCCUCAUCAGGUUGUUGUGAAAAUUAAGAGAUUAUAUAUGAAAAUACUCAACCUAGGAGAGUUUAUCUCCAUAUAACCUGGUUCUAUCAGAAAAAUGCCUUGAUUAAAAGAACCAGUUGCCUCAACUGUCAAAUUAUCAGCUGUUCAGAGUAAGAUUUAGCUAUUUUUAUAGAGAGCUGUUGUCCACAGAACCUGCAGUAAGUAGCAGUUUGUAUGUGUGGGGAACCAGCAACCUUCAGGAAGUGAGAACUCUUGGUUGUCACUUUAAUAUGCACCAGAAUCCCUAUCCUAUUCUAUGUUUGGGUUCCAACUUUGUUUAAACCACCCACUUUGACUUUCUCUGAAAGAUAAGUAUUUCUAUAUUUGUUACAUAGAGCCUUAAUUUCUUUCAGCAGUGAUAGUCAUGACCAAGGUAGCUGGAAGUUCUGCAGGUAUUUUGAUGAUAUUGGUGAGAUUUUUUUCUGUUAUAUCACUAUAACACAUUGUAGAGUAGUGGCUUUCAAUUUUUUUUUACUCCAAAUGGUACGAAAUGUAUUUUACCCAUGCAGUUCAUAAUUAUAUAUUUAUAUGUGUGUAUCAAUAUGUCUGAAACAGAGAUCUCACAAAAAGAUGUUAACUCUUUUUUACUGAACCAUCUCAUUUUUUUUCUAUCCUGUUUUUAAUUUUUUUUUUUUUAACAGGAUGCUGGGGAUGAAACUCAGGGUCUCACACAUGCUAUCCAAGGGCUCCACCACUGAACUACACUGGGACAGUGUGUGCUGAUGCACACAGUUUUCUGAAAAACAUUGUUCAGAGGAUUAAUUCUGGUCUGUAGUGUUUUGUUUGGGGUGCCUUGUCAGAGUAGAACAAAACUAAAGGCCCUAGGAAAUUUGAGGAAAAUGUGAAGAAAUAGCAGCAUAUUGUAGGGAAACUAUAACAGUUUAAUUAGAGUAGGAUAGGCAUGUUUAAUUUCUAUGUAAAUAAGUUUUCAUAGAGAGCUCCAGAAUGGGAUGUACCAGUUGAAACAGCUCAACCUCAUUGAAGAGAUUAAAGAAAGUGAAAAAAAUCAUUCAUUAUUAAAAAUUUACACAUUCGAUAGUGUUCAAUUCUUAAAAAAUGUUUUCUAGUUCUAAUGCUUUUUUGAUUCUAUGAUUUUUUCCCCAUAUUUUUGUGUUUCACUAGAGUUUUAUGAACUCAAAUAUUUUACAAAUUGUAUUUACUUAUUUAUGACAGUGCUGAGGAUUGAAACUAGGGUCAAAUAUUGUUUAUAUAUGAGUCAUUGUAAGAUUGUUUUGCCCUUUCUGUUGUUGAGUAUUUGAUCAGUUGAAUUGUGGUAUUUUUAAGAUUCUUAAGCCAUUCUGGAUCUAAUAUACACUACACUGUGAUGAUAGUUAUCUUUCGUGAUACUGUGUAUGUGAUGAUGAAGAAAGCAGGAAACAAAAAGGCGUAAGGUUAAUAUUCAGUCAAUAUAGAUAACAUGUAACUUACAAAAUUAAAAAUCAUUCAGUUUGUAAUAUAGUCAGUGAAUUUAUUUAUAAUCAUAACUUUAAACUUUUCAAUUUAUCCUGAAUUUUGCAGAAACCAAUAUUAAUUAAAGAAAUGGUUUCAGAAAAGGGGUGAAUACUUCGUUCUGAAUUUAAGAAUUCAUCAGGAAAGCCUUCUAUGUAAAUGAAUCAUCCAGAGAAAAAUUUCUUUGAAUUCUCCCACAAUUUGAGCCAAAGCAGUGCUAAUAAAAUUGUUAACUUAAUCAGUCUUGCUUCCUCAACAGUUACUGAUUUAUCUGGUAAGAUUAUCAACUAAUUUUUAUCUACCGACUUCAAGUUGAUUAGAAAUACAUUUUGCAUAAGAAUAUACACCUUGUAACUUAAAUUCAAGUAAGUUACUAUGGGUAGAUAAUAAAUUAUUGUUGUAGAUUGUAAAUCCUAACAUAAGUGGCUGUGUGCCC
This 2837-nucleotide long non-coding RNA is filed under the name Marmota monax (woodchuck). Lineage: Eukaryota; Metazoa; Chordata; Mammalia; Rodentia; Sciuridae. The record is from RNAcentral.